Molecule: non-coding RNA, 24 nt
Filed under: Arabidopsis thaliana (thale cress)
Lineage: Eukaryota; Viridiplantae; Streptophyta; Magnoliopsida; Brassicales; Brassicaceae
Source: RNAcentral
UGAGUUUUCGUCAGGUGAUUUAGC